RNAcentral lists this ribosomal RNA (555 nucleotides) under uncultured Bacteroidota bacterium. RNAcentral describes it as "bacterial SSU rRNA". It matches the Rfam family "Bacterial small subunit ribosomal RNA", at positions 364 to 916 of the family's 1533-position model. Lineage: Bacteria; Pseudomonadati; Bacteroidota. The record is from RNAcentral.
UUGGACAAUGGGCGCAAGCCUGAUCCAGCCAUGCCGCGUGCAGGAAGACGGCCCUAUGGGUUGUAAACUGCUUUUAUACGGGAAGAAUAAGGGACACGUGUGUCCUGGUGACGGUACCGUAAGAAUAAGGACCGGCUAACUCCGUGCCAGCAGCCGCGGUAAUACGGAGGGUCCGAGCGUUAUCCGGAAUUAUUGGGCGUAAAGGGUCCGCAGGCGGGCAAUUAAGUCAGGGGUGAAAUGGUGCGGCUCAACCGUAGCACUGCCCUUGAUACUGGUUGUCUUGAGUCAUAGUGAAGUGGCCGGAAUAUGUAGUGUAGCGGUGAAAUGCAUAGAUAUUACAUAGAACACCGAUUGCGAAGGCAGGUCACUAACUAUCGACUGACGCUGAUGGACGAAAGCGUGGGGAGCGAACGGGAUUAGAUACCCCGGUAGUCCACGCCGUAAACGAUGGAUACUAGCUGUCCGCUACCUUGAGUAGUGGGCGGCCCAGCGAAAGUGAUAAGUAUCCCACCUGGGGAGUACGUUCGCAAGAAUGAAACUCAAAUGAAUUGACGG